RNAcentral lists this ribosomal RNA (253 nucleotides) under uncultured bacterium. Its description in RNAcentral is "partial 16S ribosomal RNA". It matches the Rfam family "Bacterial small subunit ribosomal RNA", at positions 524 to 776 of the family's 1533-position model. The record is from RNAcentral.
UACAGAGACUGCAAGCGUUGUUCGGAUUCACUGGGCGUAAAGGGUGCGCAGGCGGCCAAGUGUGUGAGGCGUGAAAGCCUGGGGCUUAACCCCAGAAUUGCACCUCAAACUACUUGGCUAGAGCAUUGGAGAGGGUAGCAGAAUUCAUGGUGUAGCAGUGAAAUGCGUAGAUAUCAUGAGGAAUACCAGAGGCGAAGGCGGCUACCUGGACAAUUGCUGACGCUCAGGCACGAAAGCGUGGGGAGCAAAAGGG